Molecule: ribosomal RNA, 476 nt
Filed under: uncultured bacterium
Lineage: Bacteria
Description: bacterial SSU rRNA
Rfam family: Bacterial small subunit ribosomal RNA
Source: RNAcentral
AUUGAACGCUGGCGGCAUGCCUUACACAUGCAAGUCGAACGGCAGCACGGGAGCAAUCCUGGUGGCGAGUGGCGAACGGGUGAGUAAUAUAUCGGAACGUGCCCAGUCGUGGGGGAUAACGUAGCGAAAGCUACGCUAAUACCGCAUACGAUCUAUGGAUGAAAGCGGGGGAUCGCAAGACCUCGCGCGAUUGGAGCGGCCGAUAUCAGAUUAGGUAGUUGGUGAGGUAAAGGCUCACCAAGCCGACGAUCUGUAGCUGGUCUGAGAGGACGACCAGCCACACUGGGACUGAGACACGGCCCAGACUCCUACGGGAGGCAGCAGUGGGGAAUUUUUGGGACAAUGGGCGCAAGCCUGAUCCAGCAAUGCCGCGUGCAGGAUGACGGUCCUAUGGAUUGUAAACUGCUUUUGUACAGGAAGAAACACUCCCUCGUGAGGGAGCUUUGACGGUACUGUAAGAAUAAGGAUCGGCUAAC